GUGGGGAAUCUUGCACAAUGGGCGAAAGCCUGAUGCAGCAACGCCGCGUGCGGGAAGAAGGCCUUAGGGUUGUAAACCGCUUUCAGCAGGGAAGAAACUGACGGUACCUGUAGAAGAAGGUGCGGCCAACUACGUGCCAGCAGCCGCGGUGACACGUAGGCACCAAGCGUUGUCCGGAUUUAUUGGGCGUAAAGAGCUCGUAGGCGGUUCGGUAAGUCGGGUGUGAAAACUCUGGGCUCAACCCAGAGCCGCCACCUGAUACUGCUGUGACUCGAGUGCGGUAGGGGAGCGGGGAAUUCCUGGUGUAGCGGUGAAAUGCGCAGAUAUCAGGAGGAACACCAGUGGCGAAGGCGCCGCUCUGGGCCGUGACUGACGCUGAGGAGCGAAAGCGUGGGUAGCAAACAGGAUUAGAAACCCCUGUAGUCC
This 426-nucleotide ribosomal RNA is filed under the name uncultured bacterium. RNAcentral describes it as "partial 16S ribosomal RNA". It matches the Rfam family "Bacterial small subunit ribosomal RNA", at positions 354 to 796 of the family's 1533-position model. The record is from RNAcentral.